CGGCACCGUUGUAUUAAUACAUAGGAAUCUGCCUUAUAUUUUGGGAUAACUACUCGAAAGAGUGGCUAAUACCGGAUGUGGACUACGGUUUAAAGCAGGGGAUCUUCGGACCUUGCGCUAUAAGAUGAGCCUAUGCAAGAUUACCUAGUUGGUGAGGUAAAGGCUCACCAAGGCGACGAUCUUUAGCUGGUCUGAGAGGAUGAUCAGCCACACUGGGGACUGAGACACGGCCCAACUCCUACUGGAGGCAGCAGUGGGGGAAUAUUGGACAAUGGGCGGAAGCCUGAUCCAACAAUACCGGCGUGUGUGAAGAAGGCCUUCGGGUUGUAAAGCACUUUUGUCAGGAGAAUGGUAGUAGAGGUUAUACCCUUUGCUAUUGAUGUUACCUGAAGAAUAAGCACGGGCUAACUCCGUGCCAGCAGCCGCGGUAAUACGGGGGGUGCAAAGCGUUAAUCGGAAUUACUGGGGCGUAAAGGGGCGCGUAGGUGGG
RNAcentral lists this ribosomal RNA (490 nucleotides) under Marinomonas sp. MSSRF.19. Its description in RNAcentral is "bacterial SSU rRNA". It matches the Rfam family "Bacterial small subunit ribosomal RNA", at positions 96 to 579 of the family's 1533-position model. Lineage: Bacteria; Pseudomonadati; Pseudomonadota; Gammaproteobacteria; Oceanospirillales; Oceanospirillaceae. The record is from RNAcentral.